CUAACACAUGCAAGUCGAACGNGUAACAGGAAACAGCUUGCUGUUUCGCUGACGAGUGGCGGACGGGUGAGUAAUGUCUGGGAAACUGCCCGAUGGAGGGGGAUAACUACUGGAAACGGUAGCUAAUACCGCAUAACGUCGCAAGACCAAAGAGGGGGACCCUCAGGCCUCUUGCCAUCGGAUGUGCCCAGAUGGGAUUAGCUUGUUGGUGGGGUAACGGCUCACCAAGGCGACGAUCCCUAGCUGGUCUGAGAGGAUGACCAGCCACACUGGAACUGAGACACGGUCCAGACUCCUACGGGAGGCAGCAGUGGGGAAUAUUGCACAAUGGGCGCAAGCCUGAUGCAGCCAUGCCGCGUGUAUGAAGAAGGCCUUCGGGUUGUAAAGUACUUUCAGCGGGGAGGAAGGGAGUAAAGUUAAUACCUUUGCUCAUUGACGUUACCCGCAGAAGAAGCACCGGCUAACUCCGUGCCAGCAGCCGCGGUAAUACGGAGGGUGCAAGCGUUAAUCGGAAUUACUGGGCGUAAAGCGCACGCAGGCGGUUUGUUAAGUCAGAUGUGAAAUCCCCGGGCUCAACCUGGGAACUGCAUCUGAUACUGGCAAGCUUGAGUCUCGUAGAGGGGGGUAGAAUUCCAGGUGUAGCGGUGAAAUGCGUAGAGAUCUGG
Molecule: ribosomal RNA, 665 nt
Filed under: uncultured Pseudomonadota bacterium
Lineage: Bacteria; Pseudomonadati; Pseudomonadota
Description: bacterial SSU rRNA
Rfam family: Bacterial small subunit ribosomal RNA
Source: RNAcentral